Coniochaeta sp. 2T2.1 is the source of this 90-nucleotide non-coding RNA. Lineage: Eukaryota; Fungi; Ascomycota; Sordariomycetes; Coniochaetales; Coniochaetaceae. The record is from the annotation of a GenBank genome assembly.
CCCGUUGUGGUGGGGUUGGAUAUCACAUUCGGCUGUAAUGGCUUUACAUUAUUUACUGAAAGGUCACCGGCUCGAUUCCGGUCGAGGGGA